RNAcentral lists this unclassified non-coding RNA (372 nucleotides) under soil metagenome. RNAcentral describes it as "partial contains 5.8S ribosomal RNA, internal transcribed spacer 2, and large subunit ribosomal RNA". The stretch from base 1 to 120 matches the Rfam family "5.8S ribosomal RNA", at positions 35 to 154 of the family's 154-position model. The record is from RNAcentral.
GAUGAAGAACGUAGUGAAAUGCGAUAAGUAGUGUGAAUUGCAGAAUUCAGUGAAUCAUCGAAUCUUUGAACGCACAUUGCGCCCCUUGGUAUUCCGAAGGGCAUGCCUGUUCGAGCGUCAUUAUCACCCCUCAAGCCCUCGGCUUGGUGUUGGACGGUUUGGUGGAGGCCCCCUCGGGGGCUCCUGCCCCUCCCAAAGACAAUGACGGCGGCCUCGUUGGACCCCCGGUACACUGAGUUCUUCACGGGACACGUAUCGGACACAUGGGUUUACGGGACACGGUCUGCCUCCCCUCAGGGAGAAUCUUUCUAAGGUUGACCUCGGAUCAGGUAGGGAUACCCGCUGAACUUAAGCAUAUCAAUAAGCGGAGGA